AAAUUGAAGAGUUUGAUCAUGGCUCAGAUUGAACGCUGGCGGCAGGCCUAACACAUGCAAGUCGAGCGGUAGCACAGAGAGCUUGCUCUCGGGUGACGAGCGGCGGACGGGUGAGUAAUGUCUGGGAAACUGCCUGAUGGAGGGGGAUAACUACUGGAAACGGUAGCUAAUACCGCAUAACGUCGCAAGACCAAAGUGGGGGACCUUCGGGCCUCAUGCCAUCAGAUGUGCCCAGAUGGGAUUAGCUAGUAGGUGGGGUAACGGCUCACCUAGGCGACGAUCCCUAGCUGGUCUGAGAGGAUGACCAGCCACACUGGAACUGAGACACGGUCCAGACUCCUACGGGAGGCAGCAGUGGGGAAUAUUGCACAAUGGGCGCAAGCCUGAUGCAGCCAUGCCGCGUGUGUGAAGAAGGCCUUCGGGUUGUAAAGCACUUUCAGCGGGGAGGAAGGCGAUAAGGUUAAUAACCUUGUCGAUUGACGUUACCCGCAGAAGAAGCACCGGCUAACUCCGUGCCAGCAGCCGCGGUAAUACGGAGGGUGCAAGCGUUAAUCGGAAUUACUGGGCGUAAAGCGCACGCAGGCGGUCUGUCAAGUCGGAUGUGAAAUCCCCGGGCUCAACCUGGGAACUGCAUUCGAAACUGGCAGGCUAGAGUCUUGUAGAGGGGGGUAGAAUUCCAGGUGUAGCGGUGAAAUGCGUAGAGAUCUGGAGGAAUACCGGUGGCGAAGGCGGCCCCCUGGACAAAGACUGACGCUCAGGUGCGAAAGCGUGGGGAGCAAACAGGAUUAGAUACCCCGGUAGUCCACGCCGUAAACGAUGUCGAUUUGGAGGUUGUGCCCUUGAGGCGUGGCUUCCGGAGCUAACGCGUUAAAUCGACCGCCCGGGGAGUACGGCCGCAAGGUUAAAACUCAAAUGAAUUGACGGGGCCCGCACAAGCGGUGGAGCAUGUGGUUUAAUUCGAUGCAACGCGAAGAACCUUACCUGGUCUUGACAUCCACAGAACUUUCCAGAGAUGGAUUGGUGCCUUCGGGAACUGUGAGACAGGUGCUGCAUGGCUGUCGUCAGCUCGUGUUGUGAAAUGUUGGGUUAAGUCCCGCAACGAGCGCAACCCUUAUCCUUUGUUGCCAGCGGUCCGGCCGGGAACUCAAAGGAGACUGCCAGUGAUAAACUGGAGGAAGGUGGGGAUGACGUCAAGUCAUCAUGGCCCUUACGACCAGGGCUACACACGUGCUACAAUGGCAUAUACAAAGAGAAGCGACCUCGCGAGAGCAAGCGGACCUCAUAAAGUAUGUCGUAGUCCGGAUUGAGUCUGCAACUCGACUCCAUGAAGUCGGAAUCGCUAGUAAUCGUAGAUCAGAAUGCUACGGUGAAUACGUUCCCGGCCUUGUACACACCGCCCGUCACACCAUGGGAGUGGGUUGCAAAAGAAGUAGGUAGCUUAACCUUCGGGAGGGCGCUUACCACUUUGUGAUUCAUGACUGGGGUGAAGUCGUAACAAGGUAACCGUAGGGGAACCUGCGGUUGGAUCACCUCCUUACCUUAAAGAA
Molecule: ribosomal RNA, 1547 nt
Filed under: Klebsiella pneumoniae
Lineage: Bacteria; Pseudomonadati; Pseudomonadota; Gammaproteobacteria; Enterobacterales; Enterobacteriaceae
Description: 16S ribosomal RNA
Rfam family: Bacterial small subunit ribosomal RNA
Source: RNAcentral